This 1063-nucleotide long non-coding RNA is filed under the name Ursus maritimus (polar bear). RNAcentral describes it as "lncRNA (ENSUMAG00000022891.1)". The record is from RNAcentral. Lineage: Eukaryota; Metazoa; Chordata; Mammalia; Carnivora; Ursidae.
AAGUAUAAUAUGACGUACAAUGAGGGGGUAACACUAACCAAUAUCCAUCCUUCCUCCUUCCUAAUACAGUGCUGAUCUGAUUCCGGAGCUCACAUCAUCCCAUAGACAGAAGUGGAUCCUGAUUGGUCUGAGCCAUGAGGGGAUAGCAUUCUCCUGGCUCUUAUUGGGUCCUGGGGGAGGCUCUCCCCAGUUAGGAAACGACUGGAAGAGAGAGAAGUACGUUGAGGACAGAAGGCUGAACAGACACCGGUAUUUAAUGGAUGGUGAAGAUAGGAUAAACUUUGACCGGACACCUUUUUACCCAGGACUGCUGCAGCUGAGAGAUCCUGGGACUUCUGAUAAAACCUGAGCAGCCUUUUGUUUCAGGAACCCGGAAUCACCCUGGAAACAACCGUGGAGGCUGGCAGCACAGCCACGAUUCCUGUGGAAACCAGCUAGAUCCUUUAUGAUGACGGAAGGGACGGCAAGCUGAGGACAAAGCAGGAGCUGACACCCUGCAACCCCCCCCCCCAUGGGAUGUAUGCAACAUUCCUCAGGCACUCCUGGCUCCCCUAAACGACAAAGGAACAGUCCUUACUACCUACAGCCCAUUGACAAGUCCUUGAAACAGGCAUGGUGACAUUGCUCUAGGAACUCAGCGGCCUCCAUGUUAAUACUUUGCUAAGGGCCAAAGGCAGUCCUGGACUGACCCCCUCCCCUCCACCAAGAUCCUGUUAGUCUACUUUAACGUAUAAAAAUUCCUUUGGAAACUUCCUUUAUCUCUAACCCCCCAAGAUACGUGUUGGCCAUCAUCCCCCCAGCAUAUGGCCCAGCGAUAUACAUCUGAAGGGUCUCAUGACUCAGGUUUUAUUAGACGGUAAUAAGUGACCCUUUCCCAACAGUAGCUAGCCCCCUCAAGGUCCCGAAGACCUUGCUUCCAAAAUUCCUUAGAGACUUAAACGCUAUCCCUAGCCCCCUCCUCACUUGAGGGUAUAAAAUAGGCCACCCCUCACAAUCCGGGGCAGCAGCUCUUUCUGCCCACGGGUCCUGUCCCCGCGCUUUAAUAAACCACCAUUUUGCACCA